UUUUUGCAGGUGAGCAUUAGUGCGAGAUCUAACCAAUGAAGAAAAAUCGAUGCAUCCACGGGAUGGGAUCUGAAUCUGUGGAGGCGCAUGCAGACUGUCAUGAAUGUGUGUCCAACUCAACCCAUGUGGGAGGCAUGGUACGGCAAAAGAAACAAGUACCUGCUGGUUGCUAUGUACCUGUCAUUGGGACCAAUGUGACAUUGCAAAUCUAUCCUAUCCAGCCAGCUCGCUGAGUAGGAGAGAAGGAACUUCAUGCCAAACAGAAGGACCGUGCCCUAAUAAAACAUGAGUGAAUUCCGGUUUUUAUUCUCUAUUUUGACAUUUUUUGACACUAAUUACCCCAUUUAGCGGGAUUUCAUCUGUUUUAUCCCAUUUAGCAAAUUCACCCUGUUUAAAAUUUUAUGAGCAUUCUGACAUAUGGGUCCCAAUUGUAAGGUCCAGCUAGAAUGCCAAAUCGCCGGGUUUUUUUCCGAUGGUUUUCUACACGCCAAACCAGGUCGCCCUAGCUUCUCCCGACUGGCCAAGCUUGAUAUGAUCGCACCAGAGCAGCUCGGGAAACAGAGUACUAACUCUGCACCGGUAAACAUAUUUGCUAAUACGGAAAAGGAAACUUCUAAAACAUGAUUUACCUAGUUCAUUCUUCGCUAGAUAUGUAGAUAUGUACGUGCAUCAGAGGUACUGAAGCAGUAUAUUUACACCACUUUUAAUCUGAUCCACAUAAUCAUUCAUACUUAAGGUUGUAUAUGAUAAUACUGAAGAAAAACAUACAUGAUUUCAUAUUAUAUCAGCAACAGUCCCUCCUAGAAUUUAUUCAAUGGGAACAUGCCACGCUGAUCAAGUACAGUCAUCUCAUCACAAUACUUCUUCGAACCGGAAACGAGUAGUCUAAACCUAUCUAAUAUGCAUCCCAGACUAAGAGAAAAUCUAGCCACAAAAAACCUAACCACCAGGGGUCACAAACAGAGGAUGCAGCAUGCAUGGGACGGGACAAGAUUGUCGUAUUGGUUGCCGCUUGCUCCGACUAUCGCCAGUGGCCACGACUUGAAGUCUUGCCUGUCGUUGUCACCUACGUCGUGCUACCCCCUCCUAACGAAUGAGGCGGUGGUUUUGGGUCAGACCAGGGCAGGAUCGUGUGUGCAAUGGGAAUGCGAGUGAUGUGUGCCGUGAAUAAUGGAGGCCAAUGUGAUAUGGCCCAACCUGGGCGACUUGGCUAUCCGGCGAGCUGCUUUGGUGCCAUCAUAUCAAGCUUGGCCGGUCGGGAGAAGCUAGGCGAUGCCUUUAGGCGUGCAGGAAAACCAUCAGGAAAAAUCCGCCUAUGUGGCAUGCCAGCUGGACCUUACAAUUGGGACCCAUCGGCCAGAACACUCACAAAAUUUUAAACAUGGUAAAUUGUGGCAAUAUUUUUGCUAAAUGGGGUAAAAUGGAUGAAAUCCCGCUAAAUGGGUAAUUAGCGUAAAAAAUGUUAAAAUAGGGGGUAAAGACGGAAUUCACUCAUAAAACACUGCAAUCCUCUAUAUUUUCUGGACCCUUGAAAAUUUGAGUUACCGGAGCGCUCGUAUUGUUAAAUCGUCGGAGAGAGCAAAAGAAACUGAUCAAAAGCACAUCAACUAAAGGCUAAAUCAGAAUACCUAUGCAGCUGCGAUCAGCAUCUGAACCAUCUCCCAGCUACCUAACCGCAAGGAUGAAAGAAAUUUAAGCACACCUCUUCCAUCUACCUAGCCAUAUGAUGAUGAAAGAUAUUUAAGCACCUCUUCCCUCUACCUAACCAUAUGAUGAUGAAAGAUAUUUGCAUCUCAACCAUCUCCCAGCUACCUAGCCGCAAGGACGAGGUACAUGAAGCGACUUUGACGGUGAUCUCUACGUGGUGGUUUCAUCUACCGACUCGAGUCAACUAUAGCUAAUAUGCAUACUAUUGAAGCUGGAUACAUAAUAACUAACGAAAAGAAAACCUGAUCGCAGCCGGUUUUCACGUAUGAAUUGACUGGAAGACUUAAGAAUUCCGGUCAGUUCUUCUCACAAAAUUGAAUACUUAAGUAUUACCGUCGUUUUACACUAAAACCGCAUAUGUUACUAAUUUCAGGGCUGACAUAAUUUAUGUUUAGAGCAAACCCUGCAGAUCAAAAUUCACACCAAUUGAUUUUCAUCAAUCACAUGUCAACACAUGAUGCAUCACAAAUACACAUUCAAAUUCAUGUCACAACUGCAUUGUAUUUCAUUCCAGUGUACUCCCUCCGUUUCUUUUUACUCCGCAUAUAAAAUUUGGUCAAAGUCAAACUACACAAAGUUUGACCAAAUUUAUAUAAAAAAAUAUAAACAUCUACAAUAUUAAAACUAUAUAGUAUGAAAAUACAUUUCGUGGUGCAUCUGAUAACGUUGAUUUCAUACUGUCAAUGUUUAUAUUUUUUAAUGUAAAGUUAGUCAAACUUUACAAAGCUUGACUUUGACCAAACCUUAUAUGCAGACUAAAAAGAAACGAAGGGAGUACACAAUAUUCCGUUCCUUGUUUCUCUGGAGGCCACAUUGGAGAGAGUGUGUGUGUGUGUGUGAGUGCAUGGGUGGGUGGGUGGGCGCGCGUGUGAGCGGAUCGGGCCAAUGACAUGAAGUGAUCAAUCACAUGGAUAUCAUCGAUAAGGACAUACUCCGGCACCUCUUGCAACUCCCCCUCCGCUUCUCCCUGAGAUCUUGCAGCAAAGGCAAGCAUAUACCAGACGCUCACGCAAUCGUUUACUCAAAACUCAAAUGACCUCCCAAGAUUCCAUAAUAGUAGUUCUACUGCAACUAAAACCAACAUUCUACUAAUAAUUUGCCAAGACUAGCUCAGUAAUACUACUGAACUAUGGCUUGCGUCGGUCUCCGUGGUCGUGUGGGCAUCUUGGAUACUGGAUCUCGAGAUGGUGGCGGCCUUUCUGAGGCUGGAUGGUCGUGGUCGCUUCAAGUCACGAUCAAUGAUGGGCAGCAGCCGGCACAAUUCUCCCAAUAUGCAUGCUAUGGGUCUGCGUAAGUUGCAUAGAGAGGUCGCACGCAUACCUCAGAAGAGAGAUUGAUUAUAAGUGAUGAAUGAUAAUCCCUUCUUUCUCUACCGCCUACUAACGGUUAUAAUCGGUCGAUUGGGAUUUCUGCAAUUCACAAUCACAUAGACCGAGAACCAGCAAAGCCCCAAGAAUGCUUGCACAGUUUGAGUUCCAAAUUAAUUAAACACAAGAUAUUGUUUUCUAGUAACAGGAUAAUAAUCUUGUUGUCCUGUCUUUGUAGCUACACCCACCCCGUCCGAGUCUUCAUCAAGCAUUGACCAAUUUAUCAACCAAACGUGGCUGAUGGAUCAAUUUGUUGUCCAUUUCAACAAGUUAUGAGGGUGGACAUGGUCAUGUGCAGUGCAGUGCAGUGAUGAAGAGGUUAGGGACGACGAAAUUUCUUCUCAAGAGGCGUGCAUGGGCACUCCGCAUGUGCAAUCAUGAAGAUGAUGCAUGAUAGGCGAAGCUUCUUCCGGCCAGCCGCCGCGCUCCAGAAUUCAACGGACGAGACUAGUGCAGGCUUAAAUUGUUCCAUAAAAUGGCGGCACUCGGCGCCUCGGCUCAUUCAUCCAACCAUGUCCACGCUGAGAGCGCGGCGUGCGACGGCCAUCCUGGCCGUCGUCCUGGCGGCGGCCGCGGUCGUCACUCCGGCCACGGCCCAGCAGUGCGGCUCGCAAGCCGGCGGCGCCAAGUGCGCCGACUGCCUGUGCUGCAGCCAGUUCGGGUUCUGCGGCAGCACCUCCGAAUACUGCGGCGCCGGCUGCCAGAGCCAGUGCAGCGGCAGCGGCUGCGGCGGCGGCGGGGUGGCGUCCAUCGUGUCCAGGGACCUCUUCGAGCGGUUCCUGCUCCACCGCAACGACGCGGCGUGCCUGGCCCGCGGGUUCUACACCUACGACGCCUUCCUGGCCGCCGCCGGCGCGUUCCCGGCCUUCGGCACCACCGGAGACCUGGACACGCGGAAGCGGGAGGUGGCGGCCUUCUUCGGCCAGACCUCUCACGAGACCACCGGCGGGUGGCCCACCGCGCCCGACGGCCCCUUCUCGUGGGGCUACUGCUUCAAGCAGGAGCAGGGCUCGCCGCCGAGCUACUGCGACCAGAGCGCCGACUGGCCGUGCGCACCCGGCAAGCAGUACUAUGGCCGCGGCCCCAUCCAGCUCACCCAGUAAGCACCCACAAAACCCUCUUCUUCAUGUAGUUCUCUCCUAACUCAAAAUUCCUCAGCUUUAACCAAGUGUACAUGAAAAAUUACCAACAUUUGUGAUAGUACCGUCAGCGUAAUUAGAUAAAGCAUAUUUUCAUAUGAUAUUGUUUGGAUUGGUAAAAACAUAAAAAGUGUAGUGUCUUUGUUGGCCUGUUUGUUUCAUGAUGGAUUGAUUCAGCAACUACAACUACGGACCGGCGGGCCGCGCAAUCGGGGUGGACCUGCUGAACAAUCCGGACCUGGUGGCCACGGACCCGACAGUGGCGUUCAAGACGGCGAUAUGGUUCUGGAUGACGACGCAGUCCAACAAGCCGUCGUGCCAUGACGUGAUCACGGGGCGGUGGACUCCGACGGCCAAGGAUAGCGCGGCCGGACGGGUGCCCGGGUAUGGUGUCAUCACCAACGUCAUCAACGGCGGGAUCGAGUGCGGCAUGGGGCAGAACGACAAGGUGGCCGAUCGGAUCGGGUUCUACAAGCGCUAUUGUGACAUCUUCGGCAUCGGCUACGGGAAUAACCUCGACUGCUACAACCAAUUGUCGUUCAACAUUGGGCUCGCGGCACAGUGAGAUAGUAAGACUAUGGGUCCUCGAUCUAUGCAUGUGUGGAUGUGAUCACGCAUAAAUAAAUAAUCUUGGUGAUUACUUUAUGACCAAAUAAAUGGAUGACCAGACCUCCCACAUGUGUAGUACAUGUAUGUCGAUGCACGGAAAGGAAUCACCUUUAUUAAAAAUAUAUUCUAGUUUAUGCAGAAAUAUCUGCAAAUAUAUAUGUCGCCUACGGUCCAUACUUGCUUGUCUUGGUGGACUGAUCUUUCAUACCCCUACGUCCCAAACUUAUUUGGGACGGAGCGGACAGAGUACUCCAGUAAUUUUGAUAAUAAAGUGACGGGCGUUUAGAGCAGAAAUGGCUUUACGCGGGGGGAGUCGCCACGGAAUUUCUGAGGUAGAAUCGCGUUGUUUCCCUCCUUUUUUUGUUUACGGAAUUUCUGCUCGGUGAUAGGGGGUGUGUUGGGGCUAGUUCGUUUGCUGCGUUGGAGUUUUCAUGGGUGCAGGUAGGAGGAGAGGUGAUCAUGCGUGCAUAGAGGAAGGUAUUCCUUCGCGAACUAGUGGGCAGAUCCUUGUUGUGUGCAUUUUGUGUUAAUUCAACUCGAUUUUUUCUGUGUAUUAUUGAAGUCAGGCUAACUAUUACUCCAACGCUCUUAUAUUUCUUUAGGAGGGAGUACAAAUCAUCAGCAUUUCGCCCCCAUACAUCCGAAGUUCUUCAAAAGACUUAGCCCCUUUAACAAUCAUCAAGAGCAUGCGCAGGUAGUACAGUUCACCACUCAUAGCAUGUACAUAGUAAUCCCGCCCCCUUUCAUGCCAUGAUUUACUUUUAGCAUCCCAUGUCCACCCAAUCAGAAAAUCACAGUACGUAAAUGACCGACCAUGCUCAUAGAAUUCAUUGGCAACAAAACAUUUAGUGACCAUAGUUUUUUUCAAGAAGUCAGAACCAGCAAUUUUUGUAAUGUCAGCACCAGCACGAUAUCGAACAAUAUUCAUGCCAGGCAUAUGAACAGUUAAUCUUUCUACAGAGGGAAUUUUAAAGUGUAACGACACAAUCAAAUACUCUUUUACUUUAUCAAUUGAAAGAUAGCCGGUUACACAUCGAAUACUCUCCGAGCCAACCAGCAGCUGACACGCGAAGGGCCGACACAGGAAAUCCCCACACUGCCCUUGGCGGGCUCUCAAAACUACAGGCGGAGCCACCGCACGAUCCAGCGCUGAAGUCACACACCGCGGCUGGCCGCACACACGACGCCGACAAGAGGGCCCCACCAGGCAUCGAGCCCAUGCGACAGAGAGACACGACCUAAUGGGCGACAUGAGAAAAAGGAACGUAAUGUAGAGCAGGUACAAGUAAAAUUUUAUCCAACAGCCCAGCUCAUCCCAGAGCAGAUCAAACGACUCAGAUCGCAUCAAGUUCGAGAUCUGACGGUCCAAAUGGCCUGAGCUCCGAGAGAGCCCAUGUUUAGACAUGAAUCUAACUAUGGGAUACCCACCACCAGUGGCGGAGCUACGGGGGAGGGGGGCACUGNNNNNNNNNNNNNNNNNNNNNNNNNNNNNNNNNNNNNNNNNNNNNNNNNNNNNNNNNNNNNNNNNNNNNNNNNNNNNNNNNNNNNNNNNNNNNNNNNNNNNNNNNNNNNNNNNNNNNNNNNNNNNNNNNNNNNNNNNNNNNNNNNNNNNNNNNNNNNNNNNNNNNNNNNNNNNNNNNNNNNNNNNNNNNNNNNNNNNNNNNNNNNNNNNNNNNNNNNNNNNNNNNNNNNNNNNNNNNNNNNNNNNNNNNNNNNNNNNNNNNNNNNNNNUAAUUUCUGAAGAAUUUUUUUAGAGAAACUUAGAUUAAAUGUUUUUUUUUAACAUUUUGUGACCCCCUGUCCCCAGAGCACGCCGAGAGCACGAGCACCAGUUCACCAUCCGUGCAGAUGGAGGGCGGAGGCGCCGCAUCAGCUGAGGCGCAGAAGGGCGCGCCGGUUCCUGUCAGCCGCCGCCAAAGGCCUUUUGGCCGGCGCGGUUGACACGCCACCGGGAGAUGGACUACGCCAGCAUCGCCCGCUGAGCAUUCACCGUCGUCGUCAACGUCCUGGUCGACGAGCUCCUCGCCAGCCCACCGGACGCCACGGCGGGCGAAAGGACGCUGAACUACAUGCUCGAGGCGGCGGCGUUCAUCGGCGCAUGGUCACCUCAAACCCUUCUCUAUGUGAAUCUCAAUUAUAUAGACAAUGGAUGGUGGAAAACCAACUAAACUGGCGAUGUGGGCACCGAAAAAGGCUUCAGUAGCAGCCACUCAAGCAGACCCCUUAUAACACGGACUCUUUUAUCGUGUUUACAGUUUCCGGCAAAACGCGUUUUGCGGGUUUUGGCCGACCCUGCAUAACGGAACUGUAAAAAGUAGAAUUUUUGGCAUGCCAACAAAACUCGAUGACGCGACACUGAGACAAAACAUCUUCAGACUCAAACUCUCCUCUUUUUCUUCAGAAUUCGACUACGCGCAGAUAGAUGAAACGCAAAAGCUUCUUCAAGCGCGAAGCUUUCAGUGCUCAGUAGUUAAGUAAUAGCGGCUUUCAGUGCUCAGAUCUCACCGUAAAUUUGAAACGCUGUGUUUGAAAUCUCACAGAGGAAGAAUUCUCCCUUUCUUCAGAAAGGGAGAAGAUUUCGUCGCUGCCACUUCUUCGUGCAGAAAUAUACGCUCACGUACAGCAAAGAAACUUUCUUCGGACUAACACUCUGAAUUUGAUUAAUUAUCUCCGAAUUUUAUCAGAGGCAGUUUCAGUUCUAAAGCAUCAGAAAAGAAGGCAAAACAUUUGCAGACUUUUAAACUCCUGUUUUUCCUUCAGAAUUCGACCACAGGGGACGAACUCCCUCCGUUCUCACAUCUCAUACAUCCCCAAAACACACAAAGUGACACUGAUAUUUGACCCGAGAAUGAAACAAGAACGACACUGACACUCCAGCUAGACACGCAGCGACCAACAACCACUAGAACUCACUCACCCAUGGACAGACACGACACUGCUCAUCUUCUUCUCCUGGUUGCAAGGAAAUGAGACUCUUCUUCAAUCUUCAGUCGACCUCCUCCAUCUUGCUCUCCUCGGCGCCCUCCUCCUCCAGCGCGGGCAUGUCGGCAUCCUCCUCCUCGGCAUCCUGAUCAUCGAUGUUGAGGCCGAGCUUGAGCAUGCGGUGGAUCCUGGCGGCGAAGGUGUUGGGGUCGUCGAGGCUGAAGCCGGAGGUGAGCAGCGCCGUCUCGAAGAGCAGCAUCACGAGGUCCUUGACGGACUUGUCGUUCUUGUCGGCGUCGGCGCGCUUGCGGAGCUCCUCCAUGAUGCCGUUCUCCGGGUUGAUCUCCAUCGUCUUCUUGGAGGACAUGUAUGCGCCCAUGCUGCUGUCCCUCAGCGCCUGCGCCUUCAUGAUCCGCUCCAUGUUGGCCGUCCACCCGUACUCGCCGGUCACCAGGCAGCACGGCGAGUCCACGAUGCGGUCGGAUACGACCACCUUCUCCACCUUGUCGCCCAGGAUGUCCUUGAUGAUCUUGCAGAGGCCCUCGAACGCCGCCUUUUUUUCUUCCUUGCGCUUCUUCUCCUCCUCGGUCUCCUCGUCGAGCUUGAGGCCCUCCUUGGUGGCGGAGACGAGCUUCUUGCCGUCGUACUCCUUGAGCUGCCCCACGGCGUACUCGUCGAUGGCGUCCACCAUGAAGAGCACCUCGUAGCCGCGCUUCUUGAGGCGCUCCAGGAAGGGCGAGUUCUCCACGGCCUUGCGGCUCUCGCCGGUGAUGUAGUAGAUGUCCUUCUGGCCCUCCUUCAUCCGGGUGACGUAGUCCUUGAGGCUGGUGAGCUCGUCGCCGCUCUUGGUCGAGUGAUACCGGAGCAGGUCGGCGAGCUUGGCUCGGUUCUGGGAGUCCUCGUGCACGCCCAGCUUGAGGUUCUUGGAGAAUGCCUCGUAGAACUUGGCGUAGUCCUCCUUGUUCUCGGCGAUCUCGAAGAAGAGCUCGAUGCACUUCUUGACGAGGUUCUUGCGGAUGACCUUGAGGAUCUUGUUCUGCUGCAGCGUCUCGCGGGAGAUGUUGAGGGGGAGGUCGUCCGAGUCGACGACGCCCUUGACGAAGCCCAGCCACUCCGGGAUGAGCUCCUCGCAGUUGUCCAUGAUGAAGACGCGGCGCACGUAGAGCUUGAUGUUGUUCAUCUUCUUGCGGGUGUCGAAGAGGUCGAAGGGGGCGCGGCGGGGCACGAAGAGCACCGCCUUGAACUCCAGCUGCCCCUCCACCGAGAAGUGCUUCACGGCGAGGUGGUCCUCCCAGUCGUUGGUGAUGCUCUUGUAGAAGGACGCGUACUCCUCCUUGCUGAUCUCCUCCGGCUUGCGCAGCCAGAUGGGCUUCUGCUUGUUGAUCUGCGCCCACUCGUGGCUCACCUCCUUCACCUUCUUCGUCUUCUUCUUGCUCUCGUCCUUGUCCUUGUCAUCGUCGACCUCCUCGACCUCGCCUUCCUUCUUCUCCUCGGAAGCGUCUUCGUCUUCGUCGUCGCUGAUCUCCUUCUCGGUGGUCUUCUCGGUCCAGAGGUAGAUGGGGUAGCUGAUGAACUCCGAGUGCUUCUUGACGAGGUCCUUGAGGCGGCGCUCCUCGAGGUACUCGAGCUGGUCGUCCUUGAGGAAGAGCGUGAUCUUGGUGCCGCGGCCGAGCCGCUCGCCCUCCGUGUCGAGGGUGACGGUGAAGGAGCCGCCGGCCUGCGACUCCCACACGUACUGCUCGUCGUCGUUGUGCUUGGUGGUGACCACCACCUUGUCGGCGACGAGGUAGGCCGAGUAGAAGCCGACCCCGAACUGGCCGAUCAUGCUCACGUCCGCGCCCGCCUGCAGCGCCUCCAUGAACUCCUUGGUGCCCGAGCGCGCGAUGGUGCCCAGGUUGUUCACAAGGUCUGCGGCCACGGCAAACAAUCAUAAGAGAUUUGGUCAUCGUCAUCAGAUCAGAGGCAAAUGGAAGUUCAGUCUGAAACUCUAGAUUAGUUGUCGUCAGACAUUCAGACAUUCAGCAACGACUGAACAUUUAAAUUCAGGCAGACAUUCAGCAACGAUGACACCUCUAAAUUCAGGCAGACAUUCAGCAACGAUGACACAUCUAAAUUCAGACAGACAUUCAGGGAUUCAGCAACAAUAGCACAUAAUGAAUUCAGCCACCAUCCAUGAUUGAUGGAUUGAGAGUGGAAGAGGAUGCGGCCAUAGAUAGAUAGAUAGAUGGAUACCUGACUUGGUCAUGCCGACGCCGCUGUCGAUGAUGGAGAGCGUCUUGUUGGCCUUGUCGGGGACGAGGCGGAUGAAGAGCUCCGGCUGCGCGUCGAGCUUGCUCUUGUCUGUCAGGCUCUCGAACCGGAUCUUGUCAAGCGCCUGCAAGCAAAGCAUCAUUGGGUGUGAGCAAAUCAAGCAACAAAUGAAUCAUCUCUGACUCUGACGACGAACGAACAGACAAGGCAGAGAAGCAGAGGAAACAGAGCAAGGAAGGAACAGACAGAGGAGGAAGGAAGGAAGAGAGGAGAACAUACGUCUGACGAGUUUGAUAUGAGCUCGCGGAGGAAGAUCUCCUUGUUGGAGUAGAAGGUGUUGAUGAUGAGCGAGAGCAGCUGGUUGAUCUCCGCCUGGAACGCGAAGGUCUCCGUCUCCAUCUGCACGUCCGACGCCAUUGCCGUCUCCGCUGCCACUUCUCGAAGGGAAAUUGGGGGAAGAUGGCUGGGUGGGCUGCUGAUUCCUCGGCCGAUUCGCUGCGUUGAUUGCUCUGAUCGCUUGCUUGUCGCGCUGCGGGAAGAGGUUUGGGGACAGACAGAUUGACGAACAGGUGGCGGGCGGGAGGAUUUAUACCCCGGAGAUGGGAUCGCUAGGGGCCUUCGCAGGUGUUCUG
This 10626-nucleotide long non-coding RNA is filed under the name Triticum aestivum (bread wheat). Its description in RNAcentral is "long non-coding RNA (TAES_LNC019981)". Lineage: Eukaryota; Viridiplantae; Streptophyta; Magnoliopsida; Poales; Poaceae. The record is from RNAcentral.